AUUCCAGCUCCAAUAGCGUAUAUUAAAGUUGUUGCAGUUAAAAAGCUCGUAGUUGGAUUUCUGGCAGGAGUGACCGGUCACACACUCUGUGUGUGAACUCGCGUUGUCUCUGGCCAUCCUUGGGGAGAUCCUGUUUGGCAUUAAGUUGUCGGGCAGGGGAUACCCAUCGUUUACUGUGAAAAAAUUAGAGUGUUUAAAGCAGGCUUAUGCCGUUGAAUAUAUUAGCAUGGAAUAAUAAGAUAGGACUUCGGAACUAUUUUGUUGGUUUGCGUUACGAAGUAAUGAUUAAUAGGGACAGUUGGGGGUAUUCGUAUUUCGUUGUCAGAGGUGAAAUUCUUGGAUUUCCGAAAGACGAACUACUGCGAAAGCAUUUACCAAGGAUGUUUUCAUCG
RNAcentral lists this ribosomal RNA (392 nucleotides) under Thalassiosira sp. Its description in RNAcentral is "partial small subunit ribosomal RNA". It matches the Rfam family "Eukaryotic small subunit ribosomal RNA", at positions 582 to 975 of the family's 1831-position model. Lineage: Eukaryota; Bacillariophyta; Thalassiosirophyceae; Thalassiosirales; Thalassiosiraceae. The record is from RNAcentral.